Long non-coding RNA from Oncorhynchus keta (chum salmon), 905 nucleotides. RefSeq lists it as uncharacterized. Lineage: Eukaryota; Metazoa; Chordata; Actinopteri; Salmoniformes; Salmonidae. The record is from RefSeq and is a predicted model, not a curated record. The transcript has 4 exons.
GCCAUUGUCUUCUCUGCAUCAGCCUUUGUUUCGGUACAUAAAGCAUGUACAGAACAUGGGAUCCUCAUUUUCUCUGCUUAGCUAGUACUGGACAAAGUUAUCUCUGUACACACAUAUUUCAAGGGUUUUCAAAAGACCUUGUGAGCACUAAAGUUAUUUCAAUAAUAUAUCUGUGCAGAUGCAAUACUCUGAGGUAGACUGGGCUGUCUGUCCUCUCCUGUCCCAGAGGCAGAGCAGACACAGGAAACACUGAGGUAGACUGGGCUGUCUGUCCUCUCCUGUCCCAGAGGCAGAGCAGACACAGGAAACACUGAGGUAGAGGGGACUGUCUGUCCUCUCCUGUCCCAGCGGCAGAGUAGACACAGGAAACACUGAGGUAGAGGGGACUGUCUGUCCUCUCCUGUCCCAGCGGCAGAGUAGACACAGGAAACACUGAGGUAGAGGACUGUCUGUCCUCUCCUGUCCCAGAGGCAGAGCAGACACAGGAAACACUGAGGUAGAGGGGACUGUCUGUCCUCUCCUGUCCCAGAGGCAGAGUAGACACAGGAAACACUGAGGUAGAGGGGACUGUCUGUCCUCUCCUGUCCCAGCGGCAGAGUAGACACAGGAAACACUGAGGUAGAGGACUGUCUGUCCUCUCCUGUCCCAGAGGCAGAGCAGACACAGGAAACACUGAGGUAGACUGGGCUGUCUGUCCUCUCCUGUCCCAGAGGCAGAGCAGACACAGGAAACACUGAGGUAGAGGACUGUCUGUCCUCUCCUGUCCCAGCGGCAGAGUAGACACAGGAAACACUGAGGUAGAGGACUGUCUGUCCUCUCCUGUCCCAGCGGCAGAGUAGACACAGGAAACACUGAGGUAGAGGACUGUCUGUCCUCUCCUGUCCCAGCGGCAGAGUAGACACAGG